This 39902-nucleotide long non-coding RNA is filed under the name Octopus vulgaris (common octopus). Lineage: Eukaryota; Metazoa; Mollusca; Cephalopoda; Octopoda; Octopodidae. The record is from RNAcentral.
UUUAUGUAUGUGGGUCGUAAAGUGAAAUUAUUUUGCCAUGAGGAAGAGGACGAUUGUCACGUUUCAAACAGAAUCUUUGGUCGGUAAAAGAUGAAAGGAAUACAUAAUGAACCGUUUAUUGUAUGUAAUUAGUGUGUUUAUUUAAUGGCAAGAAGCACCGUGGAAUUAAGUUUUUGCCAAGCCAUGGCCUCGAUAUAGUUUCUUUUUUUUUUUUUAUUCUUGAAUAAUGUCACUUCAUUUCUCUGUCAUUUAAAGAAGCUUUUUAAGAGAAUUUCUUUAAUUGUUAAUUCGUCUCCUUGAUUCCUGGAUCUCUUUGUACAAAACACGUUUUUUAAAAAAAAAAUUCACCUUUAUAGUUUGACAUGUGUUGUAGAAGAAUGCCGCCGCUACCGGGUCGCCUACGCGGUUACUUGACUUGCUAAAAUAGCAGCCAAAACCUCCACAUCAAAUCACACACACCCUAACCGUCUUUCAAAAGAUGAAUUAGAUAAAUAAAGACGGGAUAGUCGCGACUGGAACUCUUUUGAUCAUGUGACUGCUUAGUCACGUCUGAUAUGGAGCUAAAUUCCACCAACACGACUACAAUAACAGUUGUGGCAUUAUUAAACAGUGAUGGUACGGAAGCUCCUUGCUAGAAAUAGCGGCUAAAUUCCCUCAUCAUGCCCUACCUUUGUUUUUUAAAAGACAUUAGAUAAUGUGACCCAGAUAGGGGAGUGGAAUAACAAAAAAUGCGGGAUGGUCACAGCUGGAACCGCUUUGGUAAUCGGUCUGCUCGAUAAAGGAAAACCUGGGGCUGAAGAAUGACGCAGUAGCAUCAGUUGUAGUAGUAGUAAUAGUGGUGAUGGUAAUAGUAGUAGUUGUAGUAGUAGCAGCAGCAGCAACGACGGUGAGUGGCCCAUGCGACUACGCCGUGUGUGUCAAGGUCGAAGACUGAAACGGGCUGCACACAUUCACAUACAUUCAAAUAUAUAAACACACAUAUAUACGUAUAUAUACACACAUAUAUACAUUGAUUGUUUUGUUGUAUACAGAGGAUUCCAUUUCCCAAACGUCGCUGGUGUUAAUUCCACAGAAAUGGAUUGGCUGGCCACCACCGAUUUUUAUGUUGAACCCUGGAGUUAAAACAUUAUUCAUCCUCCUAUUCAAUAUAAUAAUUUUUUCGACAUCAUCCAAGCUCCAUUUAUCUCUCUCUCUCUAAAUACAUCUUUUUAUUAAUUUCAAAUGGAUGUACCUAUUCUCCUUACUGGAUGACCACCAAAACAAAAAAGAUCAAGAGAAGAAAACGAAAGAAAAAAAAGGAUUAACCAAAUUCUUUUGGUGAGUUUUAAGAAAGGGAUUAGAUACAUUCUUAACCUGGGGAUUAUUGUUAGUUUUUAAUCGUUGUUUCUCAAUUUGUUUUCCUCAUUAUUAUGAAUUAUUAUUUUUGUCCGUUAUCAGAUUUUGAUUUUAUUUGACAAGCACUCAGCUGAAUAUUGCAUUUAUUCCAUCUCCCUCUAUUAUAUAUACUUUUUAAAUUUACAAGCACAUUGGCAUGUAUGUUUAUGGCGUGUAUGCAUUACAUUAUAUUUGUGUAGCGUGUUUAUACACACACACACACACUCAUAUAUACAUACAUAUAUACUGUAGAUCUGGGAAUACUAGCUAUACUCCAAACGUUAACCCGAUACAGUUAUGUUGUGUGCGUGUAUAUAUAUAUAUAUAUAUAUAUAUAUAUAUAUAUAUAUAUACAUAUAUAUAAAGUACACACAAUAUAUAAUGCGAACGAAUAUAUACACGUGUAUUUAUAUCUAUUUAUAUAUACACAAGACAUGUAUGUAUGUAUAUACACACACAUGUGUAUAUGAUACGAUAGAAUAUAUACGCGUAUAUACACUCAGUGAAAAUAAAUAUAUGUAAGAGUGUGUGAAAUGGUUCGGUUAGCAAUUCUCAACAUUUCCUUUUUAAAUAAUGGAACUUCGAAUGUGGCAGCAGCAAUGAGAUUUAGAUGAUAUUUGAAAAAUUCUCUUCUCAACAAUUCUACCUUGGUCUACGUGAUGUUAAUUUAUUUCAACAAUUCAACAACAGUGCCCACCUCUGUCUGCUUUAUUUGUUUCCCUCAUCGUAAAGCCUCAAUUAUUAUUUUUCGCCAUGCGAAAACUUUGUAGAAUUCGGUCGAUUCAUCUUGACAGAUUCUUUAACCGAACCGUUCUUAUUAUAUUGGUUUGUUUGAAAUGUAAUAAAAUAUACUACCAUAUCCUAGCUUAAACCAACCCAUUUCUUCAGCUUUCUUCGUAAGUUAUAUAUUUUUUACCCCUUCUCGUCUUCUCUCUCUGAUAAGUCAGAAGGCACCGUGCUUCUACUAAAACUUCCAUAAUAUUUCACCUCGGCACCAAAAAUUCUACCUUCUGACUUCACCCCUAAACAUUUUGACAAUAAAUACGUUGGAAAGUCAACGUUUUAGAGGGGCUUUUCUCUUUAAUUUGAUAUCAAACUUGGGGUUCCUUCUCGAUGUUCUAUCUCUUAUUUUUCUAACUAAAUCACUGUUGAUUCUUUUAAAACUAAUCUUGUUUACUCCAGCAGUUUUAAUGAUUUUUUGUUUUCUUCUUUUUAAUUAAGUUGUUGAUUCUGUUUAUUAUUUAGCAACUGUCACGUCACCCAACACUACCCUUGCAUUCAUUUAUGUAAACAUCCCAAACUAUUAAUUGCAUUUAAAUUUCAUUUAAAUGCAAUUAAACCUCAUUGCAUAAAUCACUUUCUUUUUAUGACUGCUUAUAGAAAAUAGAAUGCUAGUGAGAGGUGUCCACCGUAAUUAUAAUUGUUUUUAUUUUAAUUUUUAGUAAUCACAUAUAAAUACUUUCAAAUUCAUGCUCUUUCAUCUAUUUUAAGCUAUAACAUUCCAUGUUAAUUGUUAUUUUCAUGGUGACCUUCCAAACUGGUGUAUUUUUUUUAUGCCCCACACUUCAAUUCCUCGUUUGCCUUUUUAUCUUCGGUCAAUAACUGGGGUUAUUUAUGUACUGGGUUAAAUAAAUACAAUUUCCCCAUUCGUUUAAAGAAUUUACCUUGAUCCAAAGCAAAAUAUAUUGCAUUAGCUGAAUAAGGACGUGUGUUUAUUACAUACAAGCGCACACAUGUGCGUGUUUGAUAUAUAUAUAUAUAUAUGUGUGUGUGUGUGUGUGUAUACAUGUACGCGUGUGUGCAUACAUGUACCUGUGUGUGUGUGUGUGUAUACAUGUACGCGUGUGUGCAUACAUGUACCUGUGUGUGUGUGUAUACAUGUACGCGUGUGUGCAUACAUAUACCUGUGUGUGUGUGUGUGUGUGUGUGUGUAUACAUGUACGCGUGUGUGCAUACAUGUACCUGUGUGUGUGUGUGUGUGUGUAUACAUGUACGCGUGUGUGCAUACAUGUACCUGUGUGUGUGUGUGUAUACAUGUACGCGUGUGUGCAUACAUGUACCUGUAUGUGUAUAAUGUGUGUACGUGUUCGUGUAUGUACACAUUUUCUCUUGUUGAAGUUUUUUGUCUAUUUUGACUGACCAACUCCAUCUUAAUAAUAUGAACUAUUUCUAUCUAUAAAACUGUCAGUUCUAUCUUCAUCUUUGUGCAAGCAUCCACUCUUUGUAUCUUGCAAAUUUUUAUUGUCCCAGAUCUGAUGAUGAUCAUCUGUUAAUGUACGAAUUAUGUAAGCUAGCUUCAUUUCACAGGAAUCUUUUGUUCGGCCAUUCUUUGAUCCAGACGGGUUGGUACACAUCCUGUUACUCCAAUAAUAAUGGGUAUCAAGUGUAUUUUAGCUACAGGAUUCACAAAUUCCUUUUCAUAGAUGUCCAUUGAUGUAUUCUUUCUCCUGUAUUCCUCCCCUUAAUGUGAAGUGGGGGAACUAACUUCCACAACAGACCAUGUUCUUUGUGACCCCAAACACCAAUAUCACUGGUUUCAUUUUAAUAUGGUGGCUGUUUAUUUUAAAUUCUACCAUUAAUCUUUUAAUCGAUUCAUCGAUCUCAAUGUGUUCGUUCUUGUUGGUUAUCUUUUUAUUUCUAAUUUUAUCUUAGAUUGCCCUAUCGCAUCAUACUUCCUCUGAAGGUAAUAUCUCGAGGGGACAUUCCCUUUGAAUUUGGCAUUGAUCUAACUAAUGUCUCCAGUUUCGGUUUGGCAUAACCUACAUUUGUUGUCAGCUGAUGAUUUUUUGUCUUUUGUGUAGAAGAAAAUACAUGCUUUGGGAUUCUUACUCCUGUAUUUCAUGGUGAUAACCUACAAAACAUAUCAUAAUCUAGUUUUUCCUUCAAGCUAGUUUUAUUUUAAAUUUGGUUUAUUCCACCCCAUGUUCUGUGUUAUUUGUUUCAGUUUCCAUUAAAAUCUUCUCAACGACUAGUGGUGGGUGUUGUAUUAGGAUUUCCAACGAUUCUUGAGAGAUAAAAGAACCUAAUUGGUUUUAUUCUAUAUUUCUUAUAUAGUUCCAUUAGUAACCCUAAUGAGUUUUUUUAAUUUUCGUUUUUAUUAACUUGAACGAUAAAUGAUUAGUCUUUUUUUUUUCUGUUGGAGAUGUUGCUGUGUCUGUAAAUGUGUGUAUAUUUACAUGUGUGCAUACGUCUGUAUGUGUGUAUACAUGCAGAUGUAUGGUGCAAGAAGUUCACUUUGCAAUGUAGGAUUUGAUUCCACUGCAUAGUACUUUUGGCAUAUGUCUUUCGCUAUAGACUUACAUAAGAACCAAACCUUAUGAAUAAAAAAAAGUGGGUUGACAGAAACUGGCCUGUAGCUCUUUGUGAAAAUUUCUCUCUCUCUCUCUGUCUUGUUUUAAGACAAUCCUUCCUUGUCAGAUACUGUGUUAUGCUGAUUGCCUGAAUAAGGGCUACAUCAAGUAGAAAGCAUGCCAAAACUGACAUUGGAGCAUGAAGCAGUCCUUCAGCUCAUCAGGUCCUUGUUAAAUUGUCCAAGUCAUGCAAAUAUGAUACAUGGAUGUUAAAUGAUGGUAAUGAAUACUCAACCACAUGCACUCGAAUUCAGUGAGAAAGGGAGCACCUGAAUGCUUACUGACAAAACUGACCGAGAUCCUUUUACCUUACAUUUAUUCAUCAUCAUCAUCAUCACCAUCGUUUAAUGUCCGCUUUCCAUGCUAGCAUGGGUUGGACGAUUUGACUGAGGUAUGGCGAACCAGAUGGCUGCACCAGACUCCAAUCUGAUCUGGCAGUUUCUACAGCUGGAUGCCCUUCCUAAAGCUAACCACUCUGAGAGUAUAGUAGAUGCUUUUACGUGCCACCGGAACGAGGGCCAGUCAGGCGGUACUGGCAAAGGCCACACUCAAUGGUGAUUUUUAUGUGCCACCUGCACAGGAGCCAGUCCAGUGGCACUGGCAACGACCUCGCUUGAAUGUUUUUUCACGUGCCACCAGCACAAGUGCCAGUAAGGCGACAUAGGUAACGAUCACGCUUGAAUGGUGUUUUUUUACGUGCUAUUGGCAUGGAGGCCAGCUUGUUGCUCUGGCAACGAUCUCGCUUGUAUGGUACUCUUAGCGCUCCACUAGCACAGAUGCCAGUCAUUGAAUUUGAUUUCACACUUGCCUCAACAGGUCUUUGCAAGCAGAGUUUAGUGUCCAAUGAAGGAAAGGUACGCAUAAGUGGAUUGGUUACAUCCCUGGCGUAGGCCACAAGGUUAUGGUCUCACUUGCACUUGCCGAGUUUUCUCAAGCACACCAUAUUUCCAAAGGUCCCAGUCACUAGUUAUUGCCUCAGUGAGGCCCAAUGUUUGAUGGUCAUGCUUCACCACCUCAACCCAGGUCUUCCUCUUCCACAGAUUCCCUCAACUGCUAGGAUGUGACACUUUUUCACACAGCUAUCCACAGCCAUUCUCGCCACAUGACCAUACCAGUGCAGUCGUCUCUCUUGCUCACCACAUCUGAUGCUUCUUAGGUCCAACUUUUCUCUCAAGGCAACACUCUGACAUCCAUUGGAGCAUACUGGCUUCAUUCCUUGUGAGCUUACGCAUGUCCUCAGCAGUCACGGCCCAUGUUUCACUACCAUGUAGCAUGGCUGUUCGUACACAUGCGUCAUACAGUCUACCUUUUACUCUGAGCGAGAGGCCCUUUGUCACCAGCAGAGGUGAGAGCUCUCUGAACUUAGCCCAGAAUAUUCUUAUUCUAGCAGCUACACUUUCAGUGCACCCUCCCCCGCUACUGACUUGGUCACCUAGGUAACUGAAGCUAUCAACUACUUCUAGUUUUUCUCCCUGGAAUGUGGUGAAAGUUGUUUUCUGCACAUUUUCAGUCUUUAUUGCUCCUGAGCAUCUGCCACAUACAAAAACUAUCUUCCUAGUUAGACUUCCUUUGAUAUUGCUGCACCUCUUAUGUGUCCAUAGCUUACACUGGGUACAUAUUAUAGAGUUUCUACCUACGCCUUUUCUACAGAUCGAGCAGGGCCAUCUACCUGAAGGGAUUUGUGGUUUGCCUGCCUUCCUACUUAUUAGGACUUUGGUUUUAGCUAGGUUGACUCUAAGGCCCUUCGAUUCUAAUCCUUGUUUCCACACUUGAAACUUCUACUCUAGUUCUGAUAGUGACUCAUUAGAGCAAGGUCAGCAUGGAGGAGCUCCCAGGUGCAUCCUAUCUUGAAUUCCUCUGUUAUUGCCUGGAGGACUAUGAUAAAUAGGAGGGGGCUGAGGUCUGAACCUUGGUGGACCCCUACCUCUACCCUGAAUUCUUCACUGUACUCGUUGCCAACCCUCACCUUACUGACAGCGUCCCUGUACAUGACUUGUACAGCUCUCACUAACCAUUCAUCUAUACCUAGUUUCCUCAUUGACCACCAGUUAAGGGAUCGGGGGACCCUGUCAAAGGCUUUCUCCAUGUCAACAAAAGCCAGGUACAGGGAGCUUAUCUUUGGCUAGGUAUUUCUCCUGCAGCUGUCUUACCAGAAAUAUUGCAUCAGUCGUGCUUUUCCCUGGCACGAACCCAAAACUGCAUCUCAUCCAAACUGACUCUCUCCCUAAUUAGUUGGGCUAUGACCCUCUCCGUGACCUUCAUUACCUGAUCCAACAGCUUGACACCUCUGUAAUUAUUUGUAUCUAAAGCGUUACCUUUACCUUUGUAGCAGUUGACUAUUAUGCUGCUACACCAGUCAUUGGGUAUGACUCCUUAGUGUAUCACCUGGUUAACUAUACAGGUGACUAGGCUAUAGCCGACACUGCCAGAUAUUUUGAGCAUCUCUGCAGUAAUUCCUGAUGGGCCAGGGGCUUUCCCUGUCUUCAUACUUUUAAUUGCUUUAUCUUCCAACUCAGAUAGCUGGUCACUCUGUUGGGUCGACAUUCAGCAGACUCGCUUUCUCCCAUUCAUUUUCUUUAUUGAGCAACCUUUCACAGUGGCAUCUCCAAACCUCUCUCUUUGCAGCCCCAUUUAGUGCAAGAGGACCAUCAUCCAUGCGGACAGAUUUCUCUCCUACAACAUCAUGAUUCUCUCUCACACACUGUCUUGCAACAUGAAAUACUUCAAGUCUUUGGUCCUCACUGUGCAGAACAUUGGCAAAUUUUUUCUUAUCUGCUUCCCCUCUGGCUAAAUAAACCUGUCUCCUAGCUUCUCUUCUGGCAGUCUGACACAAUUCCCUGCUACCAUCAUUCUUCCAAGCCUGUUUCUUUUCUCUAAUAGCCCUGUCUAUAACAUUGUUCCACCACCACGUUAUUUGGAGUCGAGAGGGGACUUUGUACCAUCUACAGAUCUGGUCAGUGGCUCUCAGCAAGUUGUCCCGUAGAAACCUCCAGUUGUCUUCUACACCACAUGAAGCUAUAUCCCCAUCUAUUUCGUCAGAAGCUUUAAGUAAUAAGCUAUAUCUGUAUGCUCUCCAAUAUCCAAUAUGCUUACAAAUUAGUAUAAAAUUUUAUUGGGAAGUUUUUCUUUAGCUCACUUUAAAACAGGAAAUUUAUAUAAUAUAUCGGCAUCCCCAUGCUGGUGGCAUGUAAAAAGCACCAUCUGAACAUGGCCGAUGUCAGCGCUGCCUUGACUGGCUUCCAUGCUGGUGGCAUGUAAAAAGCACCAACCAAUCAUAGCCAUUGCCAGCCUCCUCUGGCCCCUGUGCCAGUGGCACGUAAAAAGCACCCACUACAUUCUCAGAGUGGUUGGUGCUAGGAAGGGCAUCCAGCUAUAGAAACAGUGCCAGAUCAGACUGGAGCCUGGUGCAGCCUCCUGGCUUCCCAGACCCCAGUCAAACCAUCCAACCCAUGCCAGCAUGGAAAACGGAUGUUAAACGAUGAUAAUGAACAUGGUUCCAUGUUCAGUUCCACUGCUUGGUAUGCAUGUGUGUGUUUAUCUAGGAAAUAAACCAGUCAUGUUUUGCUGAAUAAAUGAUUAAAUUCUUUAUUAUAUGAUGUUUGCACUUUGGGCCUCACAGAGGCAAUGACUAGUGACUGAGACCUUUGGCGAUAUGCUGUACUUGAGAAGACCCGUUAAGCCAAGUGAAAUUGUAGUUGUGGCUGAUGCUGGUGUCACGUAACUGGCACCUGUGCCAGUGGAAUGUAAAAAACACCUUUCGAGCAUUGGGCCUCACAGAAGCAAAAUUGCCGAUGGCAUGUGAAAAACUCCUUCUGAGUGUUGGUCCUCAUGGUGGCAAUGACAAAUGACCGAGACCUUUGGCAUUAAGUCGUGCUUGAGAAGACCCAUCAAGCCAGGUAAAAUCGUAACUGUGACAGAUAAUGAUGUUAUGCAAAUGGCACCUAUGCCGGUGGCACAUAAAAGCACUCAUUACACUCUCAGAGUGUAAUGGAUGUUAGGCAGGGCAUCCAACCAUAGAAACCAUGGCAAAUCAGACUGGGGUUUGGUGCAGCUUGCCAGCCCUGGUCAAACGGUCCAACCCAUGCCAGCAUGGACAACAGACACUAAAUGAUGAUGAUGAAACACAGAUUCAUCAUCAUCAUUCAACAUCUGUUUUCCAUGUAGGCAUGAGUUGGACAGUUUGACUGCAUCAGACUCCAAUUGUCUGUUUGGCAUGAUUUCUAUGGCUGGAUACCCUUCCUAACAGCAACCACUUUACAGAGCAUACUAGGUGCUAUUUAGUUGGCACCAGCAGAAGUACUUCUUACAUGGUGCCAUUAUGGGUGCUUUUUUAUGUGCUUUUUUGGAGAAUAUAUUCUGUAUCAUUCUCACUGUAAUGCUAGAGGACCAUGGAGAUCAAUAGCAGUAACACAAUUGAUAAGAGCAAUUGGAAGAAAACCACCUCCCUGCAUAUGCAGCACGCAAUGCCCAGGAACCUGUUGGCUGUCUGUGCAUUGCUGUCAGGUCCUUUUACAAGGAGUCCACAGCCAGCAUUGGCCAAGUAUAUACAUCUCUUGAUUAGGAUUGCUGCGAGAUUUUAGAAAGCAGUUUUGAAAGAUUAACAUGAGGCACAGGGCAGUCGAUGUAGUUAAGAAGCUUACUGUAUAACCAUAUGAUUUGGGGUUCGGCCUCAUUGUACUACACCUUGGACAAGUGUCUUCUGCUAUAUCCCCUGGCUGACUAAUGCCUUAUGAGUGAGUUUCAUAGACAGAAACUGUGUGGAAGCCCAUUGUGUGUAUGUGUAUAAAUAUAUAUAUAUAUAUGUGUGUGUGUGUAUAUAUAUAUAUAUAUAUAUAUAUAUAUAUAUAUAUAUAUUAAAAAUGGGGAAGGCUGUUUAUGGGAUUACCUUACGUUUCCUGUCCAUAACUGGUUUAGCUUUAUGGCGUAUUUUCAGAUCCCAAAACCUGUUGGCCCAAGACCUCUACAGGUUUUGGGAUCUGACGAUACACCAUAAAGCUAAACACUUUAUGGAUGAGAAAAUGGCCUUCCCCAUUUUUAAUAUAUACUGCUUUAUAUCUUAGAGUGUGGUUCUUUUUGGGAUUUAUGUUUUACAGACAAAAUAUAUAUAUAUAUAUAUAUAUAUAUAUAUAUAUUAUAAUAAAUUAGAGACAAAACCACUAUUAUGCAAAUCAAACAAAGAAAGACUUAAUCCAAUACAUAAAUUAAUUUAUAUUUAGAAAUUUAACAAUUAUUAAUAAUUGUUAAAUUUCUAAAUAUAAAUUAAUUUAUGUAUUGGAUUAAGUCUUUCUUUGUUUGAUUUGCAUAAUAGUGGUUUUGUCUCUAAUUUAUUAUAAUAUAAUAUUUUACUAUAAAAUUGGAUUCAAUCCUAAAUCUGAUUUUUCCCUGUAAGUUUGGAUUUAUUCCCUAAUAUUUAUUAUAUAUAUAUAUAUAUAUAUAUAUAUAUAUAUAUAUAUACUUGGAAAUGGAUGCGUGAUAUUUAAUUAAGUAAUGAUAAUAAAUAAUAUAUAUAUGUAUAUAUGGCUACAGGAUGUCACCAACUGUGUAAACAACAUGAAAUACGUAGAAAAACGAGUUAAUUACAUAAACAACAAGAGAAAAACUGGAAAACAGGACAAGUAAACAGACACGACUCUUCAUCAGUUGUUGGCUGUCUAUCUACUCCUCAUUUCGGACAUUCAGCCAACAACUGAUGAAGGGUCGUCUCUGUUUACUUGUCCUGUUUUCCAUUUUUUUUCUCUUGUUGUUUAUGUAUUUAACUCAUUUGUCUACAUAUUUCAUGUUGUUUACACAGUUGGUAACAUCCUGUACCCAUAUAUAUAUAUAUAUAUAUAUACACACACACACACAUACAUACAUGCAUACAUACAUACAUAUUUUUUUUCUCUCUCUAGUUUCAGCUCAGAGCUGUGGCCGUGCUGAUGCACCACCGUUUUGCUACACUGUUAUUAAGAGCCUUCUCUAAUAUGUGGCACUUGGUGAAGAAUUGAGUUUGAUAUAGCUACCCUCAUUUGCACCUCUUGCCGUGAGGUAGGUUCAUCUGGGACUCUCAACAGGAAGAGGUCCAGCUUUGAUUUGAAAACCCUAUGUCUACUUUGUGCAAGUUCCUCAAACUCUUUGGGAGAAUAUUAAAAAGCUGUGGGCCCUUGAAACCCAGGCUGUUGCAGUAACUGGUCCUGAAGUGUGAUGGCAUUGCUGGGAUCUUUGGCACUAUGCAGUGUCGUCCCAUUCUGGCAUUAGUAUAGCUUUUAAUGCCAAAAUUUGGCACAAUUCCUUCCAGGAUCUUCCAGAUAUAUAUUACUGCAUACCUCUCCCGUCUUCUCUCCAGGGAGUAGAGUCUUAGCUGUUUCAACCUUUCCCAGUAGCUGAGCUGUUGCAAUGAGACGAUCUUCUUUGUGAAUCUUCUCUGGAUUGCUUCAAGGUCAUAUCUGGUUCAAAUAUCCUACUUGUAUGUUUAUAUUGGUCAGCUCUGGGUUCUCUCAACUACCCUACAAUAUCAUCCUAAAAAUAAACAAUCACAUCAUCAAAAUCUCAAAGCUAUGAGAUAAUGCUUUAUUAAUUCAAAAUAAUGUGAAUAAAUAUGUGUUACAGUUGAGAGAGUAAUCUCAAUGUUAAAGGAUUAUAAUGAUUUCUUUUGUACUGUAAACUAUUUACCAUUUCUGUGAUGCCCCCCCCCCCUUCCCUUCAUGCCCUAAGCACGUAAUUAUUUUGGCUUAAUGGUUAAUCCAGUGCUGCCUUCAAGGUGGUGUCCCAGCAUGGUUACAGUUCAGUGACUGGAACAAGGGAAAAGCAAAGAAAUGUAUAUCAUCAUCAUCAUUUUCUCAUGGUAUUUGUUCUGCUUGACUUGCACCGACUCACUUUUGCUUCUCUCUGGUGAAUUCAAUCAUUCAGUGAUAGGCCUUUCAUCACCUUUUAACGAACAACGCUGUUGAUAUCAAAAUACAAUAAUCAACAUUGCUUUAAAGUCCAUUUUCCCGUGCUAGCAUGGAUCAGAGAGAAUCUCUUGAGGUGGGUUAUCUACAGCUAGAUGCCCUUACAGUCACCAACACUUAUCUGUUUCCAAGUAAGGUAAUGCUUUUGUGGAAGAUAGGAUAUGGACAUCACUUGCACAAUAGUGAUACUCAUUUACAACUAUGAGGCAAUGUCAAGAGGCAAGGAGAUAGUAAUAUAAGCACACAUACACAUGAUGAGCUUCUUUCAAUUUCCAUCUUCCAUAUUCACUCACAAGGCUUUGGUUGGCUCAGGGCUAUAGUAGAAAACAACUGCCCUAAGGCGGCGAGCUGGCAGAAACGUUAGCACACUGGGUAAAAUGGUUAGCAGUAUUUCGUCUGUCUUUAUACUUUGAGUCCAAAUUCGGCCGAGGUUGACUUUGCCUUUCAUCCUCUUGGGGGUUGAUAAAUUAAGUACCAGUUGCGUACUGAGGUUGAUUUUAUCGACUGCCCCCCCCCCCCCCAAAAAAAAAAUUCAGGCCUUGUGCUGAGAGUAGAAAAGAUUCUACAACAAUCUUUUGAGGCGACAAGCUGGCAGAAACGUUAGCAUUCCAGGCAAAAUGCCUAGCAGUAUUUCAUCUGUCUUUACAUUCUGAGUUCAAAUUCCACCAAGGUUGACGUGUGGUUGGAAAACAAAUUUCUUAACCACAUGGCCAUGCCUAUACACAGUGCCCUUCAUUUCCAAUAUUCUAUGAAAACAUGUGUCAUUGGGAAUGGGUGAAAGUUGGUGACAAGAAGUGCACUAGGCUGUAGAAAAAUGUGCCUCAACAAAUUCUGUCUGCCCCGUGCAAGCAUGGAAAAGAGGAUGUAAAGCAUGCACACACACACACACACACACUUUGUCCUAGAUUACUCAUCAUCAUCUUUUAAUGCCCAUUUUCCAUGCUGGUAUGGGUUGGAUGGUUUGACAGGAACUGGUAAGGUCAGAGAUUUGCACCAAGCUCCAGUCUUCUGUUCUGGCAUACUUUCUACAGCUGGAUGCCUUUCUUAACAUCAACCACUUUACAAAGUGUACUGGGUGCUUUUUACAUGGCACCAGCACCAGUGCUUUAUAUAUAGCAGUAGCAGCAUAGAUGUUCAUACAUGGAACCAGCACAGGUGCUUUGUAUGUGGCACCAACAUGAGUGCUUUAUAUAUCGCACCAGCAAAGUACUUUGUACGUGGUACCAACACAGGUACUUUAUUUGUGUUACCUGCAUGUGCUCCUUUUUCAUGGCACUAGCAUGGGUACUUUAUAUGUUAUACCAGCAGUGGUGCAUUUUGCAUGGUAUUUGUACUGGUGGUUUUUUGCAUGACACCAGUAUGAUCGUAAGCCCCAACAAUGCAAUUUCAUGAGGAAAGUUAUCUGAGUGGCCUUGCUUGUAUGAAGUUUGAUGUUUGAAAUAUUCCCACCAGAGCCAGAAAUGAAAUGAAAAUAGUGAGCUUGAAACACCAUGUGUUGCUGGCAAGGUUUUUGUAAAAAUAACAUAAAGAUAAGCAAUUUCAUCAUAACUUUCAUAUAAUAUUUCAAAAUAUAUUUAAACAACAGAUAUUUCAAAGGAAAAACAGGCUCAGAUUACCAGCUAAAUGAUCAGAAACAUGUAACUCAGAGCACAUCAUUUAUCUUUUACUUGUUUCUGUCAUUACACUGUGCCCAUACUGGUGCACUGCCUUGAGGAAAUUUAGUUGAACGAAUUGACCCCAGGGCUUUAUUUUUUAAGCUUGAUAGACUGAUACUUAUUCUACUGGUCUCUUUUGUUGAACUGUUAAGUUAUGGGAUGUAAACACAUCAACACUGGUUGUCAAGUGGCAGUGGAGGACACAGACACAAAGAUAUACACAUGCACACAUAAUGGGCUUCUUUCAGUUUCCAUCUAACAAAUCCACUCUCAAAGCUUUGGUUGGCCUGAGGCUCUAGUAGAAGACACUUGCCUAAGGCACCACACUGGGACUGAACUCCAAACCAUGUGGUUGGGAAGCAGACUUCUUACCACACAGCCAAGCCUGCAGUUAUGAAUGGUUCGGUUACAAUGCAUUAAAGAAGACUUGGUACUCGUGUAUUGAGUUCCGUAAUUUAUCUAAUACUUAGAAAAGUUUCAGCCAGAAUUGGUACAGACCAUCAUCAUCAUCAUCGUUUAACGUCCGCUUACCAUGCUGGCAUGGUUUGACUGAAGGCUGGCAAGCCAGAAGGCUGCACUGAUGUGGCAAAGUUUCUACAGCUGGAUGCUCUUCCUAAUGCCAACCACUCUGAGAGUGUCGUGGGUGCUUUUAUGUGCCACCUACACGAGGGCCAGUCAGGCGGAACUGGCAUCAGCUAUGCUCAAAUGGUGCUUUUUAUGUGCCACCUGCACAGGAGCCAGCCCGGCGGCACUGGCGAUGACCACGCUCACAUGGUGCUUUUUUUAUGUGCCACCGGCACGAGAGCCAGUCAGUGGCCCUGGCAAUGAUCACACUCAACCAUAACUAAAUUAAUAGCAUCACCAGGAAAAGACAUUUAAUGAUGUUUCACAUUACAGUUAUUCAUUAGGCACCAUAGCCCAUUGGAGUAAAGAGUUAUUGUUUGCAAAGAUUUAUCCGGGUGUAGGUGGUUUAUCUGGAAUUUAUUGGAGAUAUUUGUCCAGGAAGCAUUUGAAUGUUAUGAGAUCUUUUUCAUCUCUUACAUAUCUUGGUGUGAUGCUAAAGAGAGCAAUGUCAGUUGAGGUGAAAUAGUUUUGUCUUCAUGAUGCAAGCAUGAGUUUUGUAGAGGAUUGAUAUAUAUAUAUAUAUAUAUAUAUAUAUAUAUAUAUAUAUAUAUAUGGAACCUUGCUGUCCUCAAGAAGACCUGUCCACUAUUGCAGAAUGUAGUGAUGGUCCCACAUAAAAAGCACCCAGUACACUCUGUGAAGUGGUUGGCAUUAGCUGUAGAAAUUAUGCCCAAACAAACAGUAGGAGCCUUGUGCAGCCCCACCCUUCUGGGGCCUUACCAGCUUCUCCCAAACUGUCCAAACUAUGCUAGCAUGGAAAAUAGACGUUAAAUGAUGCUGCUGUUGUAUAUGUGGUCUGAUCAAUAAGUAUCUGGAUUGUUGCCAUAGUAAUGAAGCCAAAAUACGCAGAGUAAAGCCGCUUGGCACAGAUUGACCUUGGACUCUGCUGUGCAUGUGCACUAAGUUUUAAUGUUCCAGCUUACUUCUGCUGUUUACAGCAGUGCUUGGAGGGAAGGUGUGUAAUGUGUGAUCACUGCAUCGACCAUGACAGAGAAUGUUGAGCAGAGUAUCUGCAUCAAAUUUUUUCCCAAAACUUUGCAAUACCUGCUCAGAGGCCUAUACAAAGUUUUCAAAAAGUUUCCAUCAUUCUUGACACAAUCAAGGAAAUCUUGUGCUACUGAAACCCAGGUGUCUUUUUGGUCAGCUGGAAACAAUUUUGGCACAAACUUGGCAGACAUGCGUCUCAUACCCAAAUCUUCAGUGAUAACGGAAUGAACUGAACCGUAACUAAUCUGCACAUCCUCUGAUAAGUCAUGGAUGGUGAUUCGACAGUUUCCCCUCUCAGCUGCAUACACAGUUCUGCAGGUUGUGGGUCUCCCAGAACAUUCAUUAAUAUCGACAUUUUUUGGCCAUCUUGAAAACAUCCGAACCACUUGUACACUUGUGUGCAGCUCAUACACUCCUCUCCAUACACUUUCUACAAUUUUGCGUAGGCUUCUGAGCAGCUAUUGCCAUGACAACUUUUUCUGUCAUGGUCAAUGUAACAAUCACACACUACACACCUUCCUUCCGAGUACUGCUGUAAACAGAAGUAAGCUAGAACAUUAAAACUUUGUGCACAUGUAUAGCAGAGUUCAAGGUCAAUCUUUGACAAGUGGCUUCACUCUGUAUGCUUUAGCUUUGUUACUAUGGCAACAGUCUGGAUACUUAUUGAUCAGACCUUAUAUAUAUAUAUAUAUAUAUGUAUAUAUAUGGAUAAAUACACGCAUACACAUGUAUAUAAAGUGAGGUUAUUUUAAAGCAAGUUCAAGAAUAACAACUAAACAUUUAUUGAUGGUGUGAGUCAUUACUAAGAAUAGUCAAAUUUAUUGGAGAGUUUAUGUUGACUGGGAAAGUUCUAACAUUUAUUCAAUCACUGUUAAACAAACUUUACAAUAUGUGUGUGUGUGCAUGCAUGUGUAUAGGCACACCUUUUAUUUUGUCUAUAUAUAUUCAUAUAUAUUGUGUGUGUGUGUGUGUGCAUAUAUAUAUAUAUAUAGUAAAAUGCAUAUUUAUUUCUAUAUAUCAAUGUUAACAUUUGUUUAUCCAAGAUAAGUCGGAUGGUUCUACCAUGCAUCAUAUGACAUUUGUGUUGGUCUUUGUCAUCACAUCUGUGAGGCCUAGAUUCCUAAGCUCUGACAUCAUCACAUCUUCCCAUGACUACCACUCCUAUGUCUACCCACAAUAAACAACACAUGACACUUAAAAAAAAUUUUUUUUAUAUAACCAACCACACUUUGUCCAUUCUAGUAACAUAUCCUGACCAACUUCUCAUUUCCUUUAUAACACCUUUUCUGACCAUAUUUCUAACAAGACCUUAAUUAAAACUCAUAAGAGGCUAGCAGCCAACUGUUGUUGGUUUUGAACUCAUUAUACGCAGGUAUUUACUUGUUGAAAUUUAGGCCUAAAUAUAAAGAGCUGAAAGAAUUGCUGCAAGGCAUUUUGCCCAAUGCUCUAAUGAGUCUGCCGACCCGCCACCUUUAAGUAGAUUAUAAAUAUCAUCAUCAUCAUCAAAUGCAGCGUUUCUCAACCGGGGUUCCGCAAAAGGUUCCUAGGGGUUCCGCAAGAAAGAGUGAGAUAAGUUAAUGCUAAUUUCAUGAUUGUAAUAUUACUAUACAUGCACAACAUAUUGGUUACUGUAAUACAGACAUUAUCCUAUUAUGUUAUCAAAAAAAUAUAAUAACCAUAUAUAUAUAUAUAUAUAUAUAUUGGCACCUGUGUUGGUGGCACAUAAAAAACACCAUCCGAGCGUGGCUGUCUGCCAGCCUCGUCUGGCACCUGUGUCGGUGGCACAUAAAAAAACACCAUCCGAGCGUGGCCGUCUGCCAGCCUCAUCUGGCACCUGUGUCAGUGGCACAUAAAAUCACCCACUACACUCUCGGAGUGGUUGGCAUUAGGAAGGGCAUCCAGCUGUAGAAACACUGCCAGAUCUGACUGGCCUGGUGCAGCUUCGGGCUUGCCAGACCCCAGUUGAACCGUCCAACCCAUGCUAGCAUGGAAAGCGGACGUUAAAUGAUGAUGAUGAUAUAUAUAUAUUUAUGUAUGUAUGAUAUUUACCACAUGAACUAUGAUGAAAAUAAUAUGUGAAAGAUAUGGUAUAUAAUUUUGUUUUGUGCAGGUAUUCCUUGAGACAUGUAAUUUAUAUUAAGGGUUACACAAGGGUGAAAAGGUUGAGAAAUGCUGCUAAUGUCUGACUUCCAUGCUGGCAUAGGCUGAACAGUUUGACAGAAUUCAAUGAACUAGGACUGCUUUGGGCUCCAGUGUUUGCUUUGGAAUGCUUUCUAAACUGGGUUCCUUUCCUCAUGUUAACCACUUUACAGAAUGUUCUGGGUGCCUUUUUUUUUCUAAUAAAGUCACUAAGUAACUUACAAGACAAAGAAAAAGUACCCCCCCCCCUCCAUCACUGAGUGGAUUACAGAAGAGCUGGAGGUGACUUUGUGCCACAUGUUGAAAAGAGACAGGCACAUGUGUCUUGCUGUAGAAGAGACACAUGGCUACCCCAAAUUUUAUAAGAGGUGAGAGAUGAUGGAAAGAAGAUAAAGAUGUUGGUGACAAGAUGUGAAAGUGUGCUCUCAAGGUACAAGAAGGGGUUUACAAGAGUGAAUAGGGCUAUGAAUUGGGAAGGUGGUUUGUCUAUACCAUUGACACCAGUAUGAGACUGGUACUUUGUUUUAUUGACCCUGAAGCGAUGAAAGAUUAAGUUGAUCUCAUUGGGAUUUGAACAAUGAACUUGACAGAGCCAGAAGAAAUAUCCUUUCUACUAUAGGCACAAAGCCUGAAAUUUUGUUGUGGGGAGGCGCUAGUCGAUUAUAAUGACCCAGUGUUCAACUGGUGCUUAUUUUACCGACCCUGGAAAGAUAACAUGCAAAGGUGACCUCGACAAAAUUUGAACACUGAAUAUAAAAGCAGAUGAAAUGUGACAAAGCAUUUUGCCUGGCAUGUUAAUGAUUCUGCAUGUGGCUUAGUGGAUAGGGCAUUUGGCUCAUGAUAUUAAGAUCAGGAGUUCAAUUCUCAGUGAUGUGUUGUAUCCUUGAGCAAGACACUUUAUUUCACGUUACUCUAGUCUGCUCAGCUGGCAAAAAUGAGUUGUACCUGUAAUUACAAAGGGCCACCCCUUAGAGCUACAUUAAGGGUACAUGUGUUUGUGGAGUGCUCAGCCACUUGCACGUUAAUUUCAUGAACAGACUGUUCUGUUGAUCAGAUCAGCUGGAAUCCUCGUUGUCGUAAGCAAUGGAAUGCCAGUUAGUUAUUGCUAAUGAUUCUGCCUGCUCCCUACCUUGGAGCCUGAAGAAAUAUCACAAGGUGUUCUGUCCACUUUUCUUACAAUUGUUUCAAUCCAUUGUCCUUAAGUAGAUUAUAAUCAAAGUAACAUCCAUUAUUUUUGGUUAAUAUUGGUGGGUUUUGCUGUUUUGAUGGGUUGAGGGGGGUGGGAUCUGAAAUUGUGUUGGUUGUCACUUGAGAUGUUGACAUCAACCAUUGUCGUCAGCCUCUCUCUCUCUCUCUUACAGGAUGAUCACUCAAGUCUUUGAUGCUGUUAAUUCUCAGCAAGCAAACUGUUCUUCAUUAAUCUUCAGCUUGUUUCACACUAAGCAUUAAAUAAAGGUCACCAUUGUUCCCUGCUAAUAAGCAGACUUUGUUGCAUCGAAGAAGUGUCCGGGUUUGGCUGAACUAGGAUAGUUGUUGAUAGGAGAUGACUCCUUGCUGCACAUUGCUGACGUCAAAAGUAGUUAUUGUGCAUCAGAACUCAUUGUUGUCAUAGCAGCAGCAGCAGCAGCUGUAGUCUAGCCUAACUCUGCUGGUACAUAGUUUAUUGUCUUCGUUUACCAUUUAUUAGUUCUUUAGCUGUGUCAUGAUUGAAUGGAAAAAGUGAAGAAUUCUAGCGGAGUUGCUACCAAAGUGACUCCUUCAACUGCAGGUUAGUUCGGCUGUCUGUGUAUGUGUGUGUAUGUACAUAUUGUGUGCAUGUGUAUAUGUAAUUGUAUGUGUGUAUGUAAAACAAAUACCGUUUCAGUACACUUUUUGGUAAUAUUUUUGUUUGCAGUUGUUCAAAUAACUGUAACCCUGUUUCGUUCGGCAUUGAAUUGUUGUGAUAUUUCGAAAUAUUGUGUGGAACAUGAGUGUUAAAUGACAAUAAUGAUGUAAGGGUUACAGUGUUUAAAACAUCAAACUGUUUUCCUAUUCAAAGAAAAAAAAAGUUUGUAAUCCAGAAUCUCUUUUCUUAUCUUAUCUAACACUACUUCAAUGUUAAAUUCUUCCUUUCAGCAAUAAUUUCAUCUUCCUCUUUCCUUUCUCAACUCAGCAUCAUAUUUUCAAAUUAAAUAAUUCUCAACUUUCUUUCUCUCUUUCAUAUCUAAACAAUUGCUGCUACUGUUGUUCUUAACCCCAGAUCAAUCUUUAAUGAGCAGACCUUAUGAUGAAAGACAUUCCAGCGAUGACCAUUCCAUUGUUUUCUUUUAGACAUAGUGUAUCUAGCUCUACCUCUCUUUAUUUUAAGUAACAGGGUGUGGUUUGAAGGGGGAUUUGGCAGCUAUUUCUAGCAAAUCAAGUGACCAUGUAGUAGCCCUCCUCCUCAUAUACUUUUGUAUACAUUUGAUUUUUCACAUUGGUUUAGGGUUUUAAAAUUUCAGGGUGCAUUUGAAUAGGAAGAGAAGCAAUUGAUAUUAAUGCACUACAUAUUAAUUACAUUUCUUUGUAUUAAUUAUUGAGUGGGUUUGCUUUGUUUAUUCUCUUUUACAUGUUUCAGUCAUUUGACUGCGGCCAUGCUGGAGCACCGUCAACCCCAGGACUUAUUCUUUGUAAGCCCAGUACUUAUUCUAUUGGUCUCUUUUGCUGAACCGCUAAGUUUUGGGAGCAUAAACACACCAACAUAUAUAUAAUAAUUUUCAUAUUACUAUUUGUCAAGCGAUGGUGGGAGGACAAACACAGAUACAAAGACACAAAUACACACACACAUGAUAGGCUUUCAGUUUCUGUUUACCAAAUCCACUCACAAGGCUUCGGUCAGCCCAAGGCUAUAGUAGAAGACACUUGCCCAAGUUGCUAUGCAGUGGGACUGAACCCGGAACCAUGUAGUUGAGAAGCAAACUUUUUACCACACAGCCAUGCCUGCGUUUGUAAAUUUUUGUUUUCUCUGUGGUGGUAUUUUUUUUUUUUAAUUCUGUAUUAGUUUGGAUUAUCUCAUUAUUUGGUGUUCAGCUAAACUAAAUACAAUAUAUUAUCAUAUCACAUCAUAUCUCAUUUGACACCACCUCACCUGAGACCACCACCUCUGAAGAUUCUAAGGUCCAAAAUCUUUUGUUAGUAAAUAUGAGUUCAAUCAUAGUUUUAGGUAAGAAACUUCUGUUUUGUUCCAAAUACUGGCUUAAUAAGGAAAAAAUUACUUUAUUAACAACCGAUGUGGUGUGUUUAUGUCCCCGUAACUUAGCGGUUCAGCACAAGAGACCGAUAGAAUAAGUACUAGGUUUACGAAGAAUAAGUCUUGGGGUCGAUUUGCUCAACUAAAAGGCGGUGCUCCAGCUUGACCACAGUCAAAUGACUGAAGUUAAAGAGUAAAAGAGUAGAGUAACAUAUGGUUUGGAAUAAUCAUAAAACACUUUACCAUCAUCACUUAACAUCCACUUUUCUAUGCUUACAUGGGUCGGAGGAAACUUUUUGAAGUAGAUUUUUCUAUGGCUGGAUGCUCUUGCUGUUGCCAAUCCUUCCCUAUUUCCAAGUAAGGCAAUAUUUUCCCAUGUUCUCCAGACAACAAACAGCUGAAUGGUUAGACACGCUUUUAUGGAGCAAUGUAAACUAAUGAGACCCUUUGUAUGAACGAUGCCUUUUGUUAACAAUUAGUGUGCAUCUGUUGUCAAGACAAUAAGAAAAUGUGCAAAAUACACACAUAUGCAGGAGUGGCUGUGUGGCAAGAAGCUUGCCUUCCAACCACGUGGUUCUGGGUUCAGUUCCACUGCAUGGCACCUCGGGCAAAUGUCUUCUACUAUAGCCUUGGGCCAACCAAAGCCUUGUGAGUGAAUUUGGUAGACGGAAACUGAAAGAGACCUGUUGUGUGUGUGUAUAUAUAUAUAUAUAUAUACAUACAUAUUUUCCAUGCCGGUGGCACGUAAAAAGCACCAACCAAUCGUGGCCAUUGCCAACCUCCCCUGGCACGUAAAAAGCACCAUCCAUACGUGGUCGAUGCCAGUGCCACCUUGACUGGUUUCUGUGCUGGUGGCACGUAAAAAGCACCAACCGAUCGUGGCCAUUGCCUGCUUCCCCCGGCACCUGUGCCAGUGGCACGUAAAAAGCACCCACUACACUCACGGAAUGGUUGGCAUUAGGAAGGACAUCCAGCUGUAGAAACACUGCCAGAUCAGACUGGAACCUGGUGCAGCCUCCUGGCUUCCCAGACCCCGGUCGAACCAUCCAACCCAUGCAAGCAUGGAAAACGGACGUUAAACGAUGAUGAUGAUUUGUGUGUGUCUGUGUUUGUUUCCCAACCAUCACUUGACAAUUGAUGUUGGUGUGUUUAUGUGCCCCGUAACUUAGCAGUUCAGCAAAAGAGACCAAUUGCAUAAGUACCAGGCUUUCAACGAAUAAGUCCUGGGCUCGAUUUAUUCGACUAAAGGUGAUGCUCCAGCAUAGCUGCAGUCAAAUGACUGAAACAAGUAAAAAAGAAUGGAGUGCACUGGUUGUCAGGCGGGCACUGGCUGGAUGAGACGUGCGUAGUCGGCGGCGAGACAGGCAGAUACUCACAUGCAAGUGUGGCUGUGUGGUAGAGAAGUUUGCUUCCCAGCUACAUGGUUUCAGGUUCAGUCCCACUGUAUGGCACAUUGGGUGUUUUCUACUACGGCCCUUGGUCGGCCAAACCCUUGUGAGCCAAUUUGGUAGAUGGAAACUGAUAUACAUGAACAUGUAUAUGUUUGUGCAUGGAUGCAUGUGUUUUGUUUCCUUCUUUUGAUAUUGCAUGACAGUCAUGAACAAGCAUCACUCUCAUACAAAUGGUGUCCUUCUUUAGCAAUCUUCUGUGUAAACAUGUCCAGCCAGAGGGAAAUAUUGCCUUAUUUGGAAACAGAUGGAAGUUGGCAACAUGAAGGGCAGCCAACCAUAGGAAAUCAUCCUCAGCUAAUACCGUCCAUCCUAGACAAGCCUGGGGAGAUGGAUGUUAAAAUGAUGUUGAUGAUGAUGAUGAUGAUGACACAAAUAUACUUUAUUAUUAAUAAUAUCAAUGAAAAUAUCCUUUUUCAUAUAAAUCUUGGAGAAUAAUUAUCUGUAAUAUCUAACGCUUCCUCCAAUUUCAAGAGUUGGUUAUUUAUCUAACCAAAGAUUUGUUACAGCAAGAUCCUGUGUUUUAAACCAAAGCCUAUCAGGUUCUUCUGUAUAUUUUGCAUUUUUCUCAAGUUACUGGUUCUCUUUCAUCUUCCUGAUAAUUUCUUUUACAAGAAUUACUUGUACUAUGCACAUAUUAAGUGCAGGCAUAACUUGUGUGGUUAAAAAGAUCAUUUUGCAAUCAUGUGCUUCUGGUUUCAGUCCUACUGUACAGCACUUAAGGCAAAUGUUUGCUAUUUUAGCUCUGUGUAAAUUAAUGUGAGUGAAUCUGGUAUGUGGAAUCUGUGUGGAAGCCUUUUGUGUAUGUAUAUGUGUAUAUAUGUGUGUAGCUUUGUGUUUGUCCCCUGUUACUGAUUCACAACCAAUGUGUGGUUUGUUUACAUCCCUGCAAAUAGAAGAGGCUGAAAGAAUAUGAAAGAAAUAAGGACUGGGGUGGGUUUGUUUGACUGGACCCUUCAAGGCAGUGCCCCAGCAUGGCCAAACAGUUUUCAGAAGAAAAUAUUCUAAACCUGAAAUAUACUUCUAUACAAAGGUAAAAGUACAAACCAUCAACUAGAAUUAUUUCUUGUAACUUGCAUUGUUUCGGUUUCAAAAAAAGACAAUGUUUAUGGAAAUCUGACAAUACUUCAUGCAAAUUAUACUAAUCAUCAUCAUCAUUAUCAUUUAACGUCCGUUUUCUGUGCUAGCAUGGGUUGGAUGGUUCGAUCGGGGUCUGGGAAGCCAGGAGGCUGCACCAGGUUUCAGUCUGAUCUAGCAGUGUUUCUACAGUUGGAUGCACUUCUUAACGCCAACCACUCCGUGAGUGUAGUGGGUGCUUUUUACAUGCCACCGGCACAGGUGCCAGGGGAGGCUGGCAAUGGCCAUGAUUGGUUGGUGCUUUUUACGUGCCACCGGCACAGAAGCCAGUGAAGGUGGCACUGGCAUCGAUCACGUUUGGAUGGUGCUUUUUACAUGCCACUGGCACAGAUAUAGCAACUACAAUUUCCAUUUGAUCUUUAUUUUGAUGUUGAUAUACUUGACUCAAUAGGUCUCCUCAAGCACAGCAGGUCACCUUACGAUCCAAGGUAAGCACAGCAGGUCGUUCUGCAAUCCAAGUACUUUGGAUGGGCUGGGGCUAUUCGAAACUGGUGCAGGAAACAGCCAUGAACUCACUGAAAAUUUCAAAAAUUGAACUGGAGCAUGACAAAGGAACAAUUGGAAAAUUCAUACACAAGAUAUGGACAUGCUCUUUCCUUGUCAGUUAUCAUACAAAAGAAUUAUUACAAUUUCUUGCCUAGCACAUCUCCCAUGACUUUCGGAAACAUUUUUUCACUCUAAGAGUUGCUGAAGUAUGGAACAAACUGCCGGCAUCAGUUGUUAGUUGUCGGAGCACUGCAUCCUUCAAAACUUACAUGCUUCCUGAGAUUCGCCAACACUACACCUGAUUUUCUCUCCUCCAUACACACACAAGCAUGUAUCUGACUCAUACACUGUUCACUUCCCAGACAUUUGUACAUUGCUUCAUAUACUUUAUAUGCACUUUUGACAAGUUGUGGUGCACCUGAGCAUUAUUGUAUACCUGAGCACUGUAUACAAUAAUUUCAUUAUUAUUAUUUUAUUUAGAUCUCAUUUCGUGAGAUCUGUUGAUUUUCAUGAUUUUUUCUUAAAAAUCAGUAGAUUCUUGUUUUAUUUAUUUAUCUAUUUAUUCUUUUGUUCUUUUACUUGUUUCAGUCAUUUGACUUUAGCCAUGCUGGAGCACCGCUUUUAGUUGAGCAAAUUGACCCCAGGACUUAUUCUUUGUAAGCCUAGUACUUAUUCUAUCAGUUCCUUUUGCCGAACUGCUAAGAUACGGGGUACAUAAAUACACCAGCAUUGGUUGUCAAGCGAUGAUGAGGAGGGGGGAACACACACAUACGCACACACAUGUAUACAUGACGGGCUUCUUUUAGUUUCUGUCUACCAAAUCCUCUCACAAGGCUUUGGUCAGCCCGAGGCUAUAGUAGAAGACACUUGCCCAAGGUGCCAUACAGUUGGACUGAGCUAUGUCGUUGGUAUGCAAGCUACUUACCACACAGCCACUCAUGCGCCGAUUUAUUUGUUUCUUUUUUUGAUGUAUUGAUGAAUUUUCUUAAAUGAUAUCGUGGAUUAAUUUAUUUUCAAAACAAGUAAAAGAUAAUAUUGAAUUUUCUUCCAGUUUCCUUUAUGUGCACUGAACAAAUCUGUAAGAUUGAGGCUAGUUACUAUAACCACAUUAGAAGUCACCUCAAUUAAUAAAACUUAGACCGAGACAGACAUAACUACCAAGACUAUGUCUUUGUCAUAAUUUUUGCCAUCUUCUCCCUUCAAAGCUUAUUUAAACUGUUUGUUUCUGGAAGCUUUUUGGCUGAAAAUAUUAGCUCACUUUUAGUUCCAUGCCAACUUCUGUUCAUAUUUAACUUCAAACAAUUGAUUUUCUAAUUCUUGUUACAUUGAACAAAAUGCUUUGACCUCUUCAAAUCCAUCUCAUCUACAACAGACUAUCAUCCUAUGAUAAAAUUCCCUACUUUAAAACAAUCUAAAUUUAAGCUAAGCCCUUCAAUCCCUAUGGAGCAUCAACCAUUGACAACCUUCUCCUCUGUUCUUGACUCUAGGCUAUCUUUUUUACUUCCCUCCAAUUGGAUCCCUGCUUUUUCAGCUUUGCCUCAUAACUCUCCCUCCAUAUUUAUAGGGCACCAUCUUUACCACCUAUCCAGUGGGUUUCAGUUCCAGGUAGUGUUAGAAGGGGAGUCUGCCUUGCAGCUUCAUUUUCGAGUUUAUUGUACCAUGUCCUGUGUUUCCCUGAAGGAAAAGCCUUUCUCUCCCAGGUCAUGUUGGUUUCCAGUUGUCAUCAGUGCUUCUGUAACUUUACUUUUUCAAUGUAAAGCUGUUGGCCUUACACAAAACCAUUUUUACCUCCGGGAAGAGGUUAUCCCCCCUCACCAUCAUUUGGCUUUUAUCCUUUGACUUGUCUAGCAUGGGAACCCCAACUAGGAGCUUACAGUUCACUGGCAUAGCUGUCAGGGUCACUGAGACACAUGAGCCAUCACCUGGUAACAUGGACUGAACCUUGUAGUGGAGUCUAAUUUAGAAACUUGCAUCAAAACUUCAUGUUCAUUGAUGUCCCAAAUACCAGCUUAAUAGUGAGUUAUUUUACUAAAUUCUCCAUUUUCAAAAUUAAGCAGUAUAUUUCAACAGAAAUAAUACGGUAUCAAAAGAGUUAAAGGAUCAUCUCAGAUUGCAAAAAGAAACACCUGAUAUCUUCCAUUUCCAAAAGUUUUCUCAACUCAGCUCAGCCUAUCCCAGCCUUCAUUCCCUUAUCAUUUGACACAUUACUGUAAAACACACACACACAGAUGCUUGCAGUGUACUGUUGCAGUAUAUUCCUGACAUUUUUUGUUAUAUAAUUGCCUUCAAGCUGCAUCAUUAAACUGAAGGUGGGAUUGGCUUACAGAGUUACAUAGUUGGGAGCGAUACAGUUGCUGGAUGAUUAUGGUGAUGAUGUUAAUAAUAAUAAUAAUAAUAAUAAUAGUAAUAAUAAAUAGUAUUAAGUGAUGACACAUCAGUGAGGAGCGUGAUGUUGCUGAUAAUUGUAUACAACACUCGUUAACUUGUUAGAUUAGUUACUCUAGAAUGUUUUUGUAAUCUCUGUGUUUGUUAUGUUAAAAUAUCAAACAUAACUUUGAAGUAUUCUAGCUGUUUGCUUAUCAAGACAGUUAUUAAUUAAUCAAGUCUUAAUUAAGUGAUCAGUAUCUUGAGUUUAGUUUUUAACUGUUUGACUGUUGUUUUACAUUUUUAGACUGACCGCCAUUUAUAAACAAAUGAUAAAACAAUCAGUAAACGGGACUGCUAUGUAGUUUGCUCAAAUGGCUAGACAUAGUAGCCAAAUCUCCCUUAAAACCAUACCCAACAACUGUUUUGAAAAAGAAAAAGGACACAUUAGAUAAUGUAGUCUUAGAUAUAGUCUAUCUAGAAUUAAAUUAAAAAAAAUAAUGGGCUCGUCAUGAUUGGAAUGCAUUUGAUUAUUGGUCACUCCAUUAAGGGUUGACUUAGGAUUAAACAACAGAACAAAAUAAUUUCAAUUUUUUGUUAUUUUGUGUCUUAACAAAUUUGGGUUUUUGAAUACCCUGCUGACCCUUCACCCUUAUUUUUUCUCUUAGUGUGUUGAGAGUAUGCUUUCUUUCAUUCAGUGGCUCUCAGCUGGGUUCCAUAUGACCCAGGGGUCUCUGUAUAAGAUUUUAGCAGGGUCCAAGCAAACAAAGUAGUAAAUGGGGGACCUAAGUAUUUUAGGGGUCCUUGAAAAAUGUUUGCUUUGGAUGUAUUUUUUGCAAGAGACAACUAAGUUUCUUUCUUUAAUGUUUUAAAUAGUUCAACGUGCUUCCAGCCACUGAAAUGUGUUUUCUCAGAGAGUUCUAGAGCAAACCUAUGCAAAUGAACGGGUGAAAAACAAAAUCGGAAUUUUGAAAGAAGUAUUUUAAAAAUUAGUUUUUAAGCACCAUUUGGCUAUGGGGGUCCACCAGAGUAAAAUAACCAAGAGGACAGUGUCCCUGAAGUUUGUAGAGUGUCCUGGACCAGUAACAUCGAUAUAAUUGAUGUCCAGCUUCAACAUCUGGAGUUCAGCAUCUUUCUCUCUCUUUGAUCAGUGACAUUAAGUUAAUGUCUUGUCUCAACAAUUGCAAGAUAUUGUCUUUUUGGCCAGUGAUAUUGAUGUCCAUCCUCAACAUCUUUAGGUCAAUGUCUCCCAGACCAGUGACAUUGGUGUGGCUGAUGCCCAGUUGCAAUACCUGCAGGCAAAAUAUGAUCAGAUCUGGUACAGACACAUUAACGGAAUAAACUCUGUUGAUGACACCCAAUGCUCAGGUAAUAGAGGUGGUAUUAAUUUAAGUGAACCAUAAAAUAUAUUUGGGAAGAGAAUUUUUGUUUAUUCUGAACAGAAGCAGUCAUUUCCUGAAUAUCUUCCAAACCUCUUGGCAUUCAGUGAUACAUUGUUUACACUGUGUCUGACCUCAGUGCUAAUUAUAUCGGUUUAAUUAUUGAUGUUCAUCUUCUAUCAUAUGUGAACCAUCAGAAAGACCAAUCUUGAAGUGAUUCUGGCCUAGUUAGGCUGUUAUGAUCACCAUUAUCACAAAUACAGCACUUCUUUACAAAUCCACUCUUUAAUCUGCAGGAAAUGAUAUGGUGCCUGUGAAACGGCCAAAUGCUUGUGAUUUUGUGCAUUCAAAGACUUAAAUUUACUGGAACAUAAAACAAUGGAAGCCAUUCAUUACUUGUUAUGGAUGUUGUUUAGAUACAGUUUGAACCAGGUCAAGUAGGUAUUCAUUAUUUAUUGUAUCCUUUAUUUAAGGUAGUAUAGUGCAAUUUUGGGGAUAUUUGGCUGCUAUUUCUAACACCUAAAGUGACCACAUACAAACUCCAUCAUUAACUUACACAUUUAUUCAGUUUUAAGUGUUAGUCUAUCUGUUGUGUAGAAGUCAUGUGUUCCUUGCUUUUAAUUCCAGUUUAAUGAAGAAUUUGGUAACAUAAUCUUGUUAUUAAAGCUGGUUUUUGGAACAUAAAUUGAUAUAAAAGUUUGAUAGGCUUUGAUUUAUUCCUUUAUUCCAUUUGCAUUCAAACUGGCCAUAUCCAGUCAGAAUAGUUUACCUGUUGAAGAUGAUGAUGACUGGCUAUAUCUAGCCUCUCACACAUCUACAAUGUCAUUCUAAAAAUAUACAGUCAUAUCAAAAAUCUCAAAGCUACAAGAUAGUUAAUUUUUAAAAAUUCAAAACAAUGUGAUUAAAUAUGUAUUACACUUGACUGCGCAAUCUGAAUACUAAUAGGUUAAAACAAGAUGUUUGUAUCUGGAAUCGGGGUUUGUCUCAAGGUGGGUUGGUAUUGAAAAGGUUAAGCCAUAAUUUGGCAGUUAUUGCAGAUCAAAGAUGACUGAGAGAUAAAGAAUUGGUGUGAAUAAAAAGCUAAACACGAUAUUUGGACAUAAUUACUGAAGGAGUCUGGAGAGUGCAAACAAUCAUGUCUUUCACCAGCAAAUUGUUUUAUGGUCUUUCCUUUAACCUUUUACUACUUACAGUUGUGUAUCAUAAUUGAUCUGGCAACAGAGAAGACCUGGCAAGCCAAGUGAGACUAUAGCCAUAGGCAAUAUGCUGUGCUUGAGAAGACCUGUUAAAUCCAGUGAAAUUGUUGUCGUGGUUGAUGCCAGUGCUGUCUGACUUGCACCUAUGCUGGUGGCACAUAAAAAGCACCAUUCAAGUGUAGUUGAUGCCAGUGCCACCUGACUGGCUCCCAUGCUGGUGGCACAUAAAAAGCAUCAUUCAAGCGUGGUUGAUGCCAAUGCUGCCUGACUGGCUCCUAUGCCGGUGGCACAUAAAAAGCACCAUUCAAGCAUGGUUGAUGCCAGUGCUGUCUGACUGGCUCCCGUGCUGGUGGCACAUAAAAAGCACCAUUCAAGCGUGGUUGAUGCCAAUGCCACCUGACUGGCUCCCAUGCCAGUGGCACGUAAAAAGCACCAUUCAAGCGUGAUCAAUGCCAGUACCGCCUGACUGGCUCCCAUGCUGGUGGCACAUAAAAAAGCUCCAUUCAAGUGUGGUUGAUGCCAAUGCUGCCUGACUGGCUCCUGUAAAAGCACCCACUACACCCUUGGAGUGGUUGGUAUGAGGAAGGACAUCCAGCUGAGAAACUUUGCCAGAUCAGAUUGGAGCCUUGUGCAACCUCCUGGCUUGCCAGUCCUCAGUCAAACUGUCCAACCCAUACCAGCAGAUAUCAAAUGUUAAUGAUGAUGAUAAUCACUUCAGUUGUUAAUUCCUUUCCCACUAUAACAUAUUUUAUGACACCUCACUACACUUAAUGCUCGAUGCUUCCAUCAGACUAAACAGCAUUGAUUCUUUUAUUAUCAACCAUAAUUCUUGAUACUAAGCUACUUCAGACUGCUCCUGCUUCUAUGAUAUAAAAGCAUUGGUAUAAAAGUACUGGUGAUGGUUCUGCAUAAAAAACUCUCAAUACACUCUGUAAAGUGGUUGGCAUUAGGAAGGGAAUCCAGCCAUAGAAACCAUGCCAAAACAGGAACCUGGUGCUGCCUCCUGGCCUUGUCCAACCUAUACCAGUAUGGAGAAUGGAUGUUAAAUGAUGAUGAUGAGUUUGUUUGUUUUUAAAACUUAAACGAUUGCAGUAUUUAAUCCUAAAUAGAGAAAGAUUAAAUAGAGCUUUCGAGAUGAUAGUGAUGCUCAGAUUUAUGGGAUUUGCAUAAUUUUUAUUUGUAAUGUUUGGUGAUUAUUUUUCCAAGAUCUUCCAGAUAAUAAGACUACUCUUUCAAAAGAAAAAGGAAAAGAUAUUCAGUAGUUAACCAUUUUGAUACCAACCUACCUGAGGUUGCACCUGGUUCUAUGAUACAAACUUCCUGUUUUAAAGUGGUCUAAAUUAAAUCUUUCCAUCAAAAUUUCAUGUUAAUUUAUAUUCCAAACACGAGUUUAAUAAUAACACAAUUAUUUUACUAAAUUCUUCAUUAUUUUAAAAAUUAAUUGGGACAUUUCUAUGUGGUUGUUUAUUAAGCUAGAAAUAGCAAGGAUGAUGUGGGUUAUAUUUGAAAGCCUAUAACAUACCAAGCAGGCAUACCAACAAAUUCACUGCUGAAUUUCUUUUUUCCAGUAACUUGAAAUCAUCUUCAGAUUAGGUGCGGGUAAUUUGAAAGUGAUUUCAUCCUCGUCCUUAUCAUUUCACAUUAUCUCAAAUCCUUCCUCAAAUGUUCAUCACCUUGCUGGAAAAAUAAACUUUGUUUUCUGUGUGUGUGUGUGUGCGCACAUUAGGUAUACAUGUGUACUUUACAGAAAAAGUGUUAAACAUCAACUUUGUUGGAGGAGUGGCUGUGUGGUAAGUAGCUUGCUUACGAAUCACAUGGUUCCAGGUUCACUCCAACUGUGUGGCACCUUGGGCAAGUGUCUUCUACUAUAGCCUCGGGCCGACUAAAGCCUUGUGAGUGGAUUUGGUAGACAGAAACUGAAAGAAGCCCAUCGUAUAUAUGUAUAUAUAUAUACAUGUGUGUCUGUGUUUGUCCCCACAACAUCGUUUGACAACCGAUGUUGGUGUCUUUAUGUCCCUGCAACUUAACGGUUUGGCAAAAGAGACCGAUAGAAUAAGUACUAGGCUUACAAAGAAUAAGUCCUGGGGUCGAUUUGCUCAACUAAAGGCGGUGCUCCAGCAUGGCCACAGUCAAAUGACUAAAACAAGUAAAAGAGUAAAGUGCAUAAAUAUAUUAUUUUGUAUAAUAAAUGUGUAUGAAAUAUUUUGUUUUGUAUAGAAAUAUAUUUCAUUUACAUGUCUGUGUAUUAAUAUAUUUUUUGUAUAAUAUGUAUUCUGAUUGAUUUGUUACUAAAAAAAUUGGAGGCUCAGAAUCUCGUGUUUGUUUUAAAGGCAUCAUAAAAAUGUUAGUUAUAUCUAUUAGAAUCAUCCGUAAGUUUUCCAAUACAUCCCCUGUGUAACUUAUUUCUUUUCCAUCAAUGUAUUUGUACAUUUUAAUAUUAAUAGUAUUUAGAUGCAGCACAAAAUUUUGUCAGUGAACAGGUCAUGGUCUCAAAGCGACGAAAAUAUUUUGACAAAUUAAAUUUAAAUAUUGAAGUGAAUUUAAUGGUUUUUGUGUGUUUUUAAAUGGCUUAUAAACACUUUCCACACUGCAGUAUUAAUAACCUUAUAUAAAUACACAACUACAGACAUACAGAGAUGGGAAAUGAUAUUUUUUUUAUUCCUGUUCUUGAUAUGAACAGUGGAGGUUCCAGCAAAGAAUUUAACUAUUUGGAAAUAAAGUAGAGAUGGAGAUGGAAAUGGAUAGAGAAGGCUGUAAGACAUUAAAAAAAUGCUAUCUCACAGUUUAAGAUUUUGAAAAAUGUUUGCAAUUAAUUAAACUUAAUCAUUUCUACAGCUGUUUCUACAGCUGGAUGCGUUAGGAAGGGCAUCCAGCUGUAGAAACACUGCCACAUCUGACUGGCCUGGUGCAGCCUUCGGGCUUCCCAGACCCCAGUUGAACCGUCCAACCCAUGCUAGCAUGGAAAGCGGACGUUAAACGAUGAUGAUGAUGAUGAUGAUGAUGAUUUAGCUUUAUGGGUUGCCUUUCCAGGUACCAAGCCUUUUGGUUGCUUCUUGAGACACAAGAAUAUGUACACCUAUUCUGAAAACCAGAAAUCUUUAACAUCAGCUCUGCAUCAUCCCUUAUAAAAGUGCCAUAAUAUUUUAAGUUCAAGUACUUUGUUGGGUCAAUUUCCUAAUGAGAUACCACCUGUAGGAUUGUGGAGAUGAGGUUCAAUUGAUUAUUCAGUAUUUGAUUAAAAUUUUGGACUCUGUUGUUGGACAUGGUCUUCUGUUAAAAUGGCCAGGCAUCUUCAACUUGAGGAGUGGAGUUAACAGAGAGAAACUGAAUGAAAGCCAUUGUGUGUGUGUGUGUGUGUGUGUGUGUAUACACAUUAUCAUCAUAGUUGUUUAAUGUCUGUUUUCCAUGUUGGUAUGGGUUGGACAGUUUGACUGAGGACUGGCGAGCCAGAAGGCUGCACCAGGCUCCAAUCUGAUCUAGCAAAGUUUCUACAGCUGGGUGUCCUUAUGCCAACCACUCCGAGAGUUUAGUGGAUGCUUUUACAUGUCACUAGCAUGAGUGCCAGUUUGUCGGUACUGGCAACGGCCAUGCUCAAAAGGUGUUUUUACGUGCCACCUGCAUGGGAGCCAGUCCGGUGCCAUUGGCAAUGACCACGCUCGAAUGUUGUUUUUCACAUGCUAUCGGCACAUGUGCCAGUAAGGUGAUGCUGGCAACGAUCACACUUAAAUGGUGCUUUUUACAUGCCACCAGUCAACGGCCCUGGCAUCAAUCAUGCUCAGAUGGUGCUUUUAAUGUUCCAAAGGCACAAGUGCCAAUCAGGCGGUACUGUCAUUGGCCAUGUCAGUGAUUUUGAUUUCACUUGCCUCAACAGGUCUUUGCAAGCAGAGUUCAUUGUGCAAUGAAUGAGGAGUACUCAUAAGUGGGCUGGUUAUACACCACUGGCAUAGGCCACAAGGUAAUGGUCUCACUUGGCUUACCGGGUCUUCUCAAGCACAGCAUGUCUCCAAAAAUCUUGGUCACUAGUCAUUGCCUCGGUGAGAUACAAUUCAACACGUGCAGCUGCUAAUCUAGACAUAUUUUUCCCCCACUCUCCAUCUAUUUUCUCUUCCAUUUUUCCUGGGUUUCAAAGUAAUACACCUUGUUUGUUACUCCUUCACUUGCCUCUGUCUUUUGUUUUUUGUACAACUUUGAACCAUAAAUUUACAUAUAUGUAUAUAUAUAUGUGUGUGUUUGUGUGUACUAUUGUGUACAUAUAUACAUAUUCUCUGUGUGUAUUUGUGUAGACAUCAUACAAUGGUCGUAGAUGAGCAUGGUUGUCAUAUGAGUGAGGUUGUUCAUUACUAUCCUUCUGUAAAAUACAAGUCUAAGACAUUUACCACCACCACCACAAAGACAAUUACUUCUGAGGAUAACAGAUGAUGAUUUAAAAUUUCUUAAUAUAUUGGAGAAUGGGUAAUUAACCAAGCAGGGUAAUUGUUCUAGGAGGUAGUGGUCGUAGGGGGUAACUGUCCUGAUACAGUAAAAUACAUGCCCAGCUAUGGGAAAAUAUUUCCUUGUUUGGAAACAGGUGAGGGUUGGCAACAAGGCAGGCAUCCAGCCAUAGAAAAUCUGUUUCAACAAAUUCCAUCUGAUCCAUGAAAGCAUGGAAAGGUGGACAUUAAAUGAUGAUGAUGAUGAUAUAUUUUAAACACUUACCACUUUACUAUUUUAAUUUCCUUUCAGAUUCCUCAUAUACUCCAAAUGUUUCAACUCUCUUGUAAUACUUACAUCAAGUACUGAAGAAUGUGGCAGCUUCUGAGAGCUUGUGUCUCUCAGUUGAAUCACAAAACAUACCAGGUAAGUUACAGGUUUUCUUUUAUUUUUUUACUUGUUUCUCAUUUGACUGUGGCCAUGCUACGGCACUGCCUUUAGUCGAACAAUUUGACUUCAGGGCUUAUUCUUUGUAAGCCUAGUAUUUAUUUUAUUGGUCUCUUUUGCUGAACUGCUUAGUUACAAAUACAGUUGUCAAGCAAUGGUGGUGGGGAUAAAAACACACAUACAAUCACACGACGGGCUUCUUUUAGUUUCCGUCUACCAAAUCCACUCGCAAGGCUUGGGUCGGCCUGAGGCUAUAGUAGAAGACACUUGUCUAAGGAGCCGCACUGUGGGAUGCUUUCUUUGCUAGCUUGAGUUGGUUGGGUUUGCCAUAGACAGUCAGUACAUAUUCGGUAAUACCUACUUGAAAUGGAUUAGAAGGACUGCAGUCUGUUUGCUUCAUUUUUGGUUGAUUUUCUACAGUUGGAUACCCUUUCUAAUACCAACCUCCUUUACAGAGUGUACUGGAUACUUUUUCAUGGCAUCAGCACCAGAGAGGUCGCCAUGUCUUGCACAAGACUAAAAGCACCUCAUUUCCUUGCACUUUGCAGAAUGUAUUGAAUGCAAUUUUUGCAACACCAGCACAAAAGAAGUCAUUGUGUUCUCAAUGUGACUAUCAGUAUUCAAUUACCCAGAAAGCUCAUAAGAAGUAAUUAGUAAUCAGCAGUGGAGGUGAGUGUUAUGGAAUCAUUGUUACCAGAAUAAGGAUGAUUGGAAAUUUUCCAGGGAGACAUUAACCUCUGUUGACUGCAGAAGGAUUCUCCCUCCCUCUCCUUGUCAAGUGUAGAUGCUAUGAUACUGGUGUCCGAUGUGUGAUCAUACAUUGUAGUGAAACCUGGAUGGUGAGAGCUGAGGAUACAUGUUGGCAGGAAAGAAAUGAUGUGAAUCUGGUCUGUUGGAUGUUUAAUGUGACUGAAAGAACACAGGUGUGACAAAAGGAAUACUGGGAAUUAGAGGAAUCAGAUGUAAUGUAUAGGAGAGGAGAUGGCUUUCAGAAUUCCUCCUGUCGGUAAUCUGCAUAUUGUUGCUUUAUUAGUGAUAUGUCCUUAAUUUAGCUCUCUCAGGUAACAGAUGAGUAAGACAACAACCACUCUGGAACUUGUACAACAAAAAUCACCCUCUACACACUUUACAGUGGUUGUCAUAUAAACAAUGAAAGCAUAGGGUCGUGAGAUCCCCCUUAGUCCAGUCUUGUUAAGGGUCAUUCAACCUCACUAGUGUUGCAGUGUAUGGGAGCAGCAGCGCCUACUAAAAAUGGAUCAAGUCCUAAUGAACCAACACACGCAGUGUAGAAAGCAAAUGUAAAAUUGUAAAUUAAUGAUUAUGGUGUAAUGUGUCCUGUUGUUACAAGUUAGAUAUUUUUUUGUGACAGUUUUUGCUAAGUGAUUAUAUAACUUACUAGCUGGCUCUGUGCCAUCAAAAAUGACACCUAAUUAUAGUAUUAUAUUUGUUUUAUAUCCUUGAUACACGCGGGUGAUAAUUAUUUUCUCUAAUCAGUUUGUAUAGGUGUGUGUGGUUGUAAUAAUUAUUUUUAGCAAAAAGACAGAAUAUGGAUGGUAAAUCAAAUUAAUACGCAUGUCAAUGUUAUCCAGUGGAUGUCUUUUGAGAUGUGACAUUGAUCAUCAUUUAUUACUGAAAGAAUGUCGGUUAGUUAAUGUAUAGUUACUGGGUAAAAAUUUCUUAAUAUAAAUAAAUUAAUGACAUGUGUAAACUGUUAAAUUAAGAUGUGUAUUUAUAAUAUACCUUUCAACUGCAGUUGUUUUAUAUUCUUGAUACUUUCAGGCAAUAAUUAUUUUCUCUAAUGAGUUUGUAUAUGUAUAUGUUUGUGUAGGUGUGUGUGAUAGUAAUAAUUAUUUCUAACAAAACAGAAUAUGGAUGGUAUUUCAAAUUAAUACACACGUCAAUGUUAUCUAGUGGUUGCUGUUUGAGAUGUGACAUCGAUCAUCGCUUGUUACUGAAAGAACAUUGGUUCACACGUACAAACAUUCACAUACUUCCCUUGUACAUACUCACACAGAGUUGAAAUGCUGUUUGAUUUUUCUUUUCAGCGCUGAAUGUCCACCAUCCCACUUCUAUUACACACACACACACAAACAUUCACAUACCUCCCUUUUACAUACACACGCUUAUACUCACACAGAGUUGAAAUGCUGUUUGAUUUUUCUUUUUCAUCGUAGAAUUUCCAUCAUCUCACUACUGGUUUGCCAUCACUCCAUCCUUUCUCAUUCAUAUGUUGUGAUGUAGAAAGAGUAUUAUUAUAGUAGAUAACCUGUCCUAGGAGUGCUACCAUAUUGAUUUGUAAAUAUUAUAGUUGUCUAAUUAGUCAGACUGUCAUACAUUACAAUUAGGUGCCUUUAUGUUGUUCUUCAGACUGCUAGGAAUAGGAGCGAAAUUUCCCUCAGAUUACAUUCUGUUGUCUAAGAAACAAAGAGAGAAAACGUUUGAUAAUGCAGUGUAAUACCGUCAUUGUUUUAAUGUUAGUUUUUCUAGGCUCAGAAGGGUCAAAUGUAAUUUAUUGAGGGAGAUUUUCUAAUCAGAAACCUUUCCCGUUGCCAACCCUCUCCUGUUUCCAAACAAGUUCAGGUUUCCUCAUGACCAGACAUGUUUUAAUGAAAGAUUGGACGCUGUUUGCAUGCACUGAGUACAUUGUGUAAAGUGGUUGGCGUUAAUAAGGGCAACAAGCCAUAGAAACCAUGACUGGCACCUGGUGCAACCCUCUGGCUUGCCAGCUUCUGUCAAACUGUCCAACCCAUGCCCGCAUGGAAAAUAGACGUUAAAUGAUGAUGAGAAUGGUGAUGAUGAAGGUGCAGGCAUGGUUGUGUGGUAAGAAGUUUGCUUCCCAACCACAUGAUUCCAGGUUCAGUCCCACAGUGUGACACCUUGGGCAAGUGUCUUCUAUAGUCCUGAGUGGAUUUGGUUGACGGAAACUGAAAGAAGCCUGUUGAGGAUUUUGCCUUGGAAGGUACUUGGUGACCCUGUCAGUGCAGGUACCAUGUAAAAAGCACUUGUGCUGGUGCCACGUAAAAAACACUGGUGCUGGUACCAUGUAAAAAAUGCUAGUGCUGGUACCACAUAAAAAGCAUCAGUGCUGGUGCCAUAUGGUGCUAUGUAAAAAGUACCUGUGCUGGUGCCACAUAAAAGCACCCAGUACACUUGGUAAAGUGUUUGGCAUUAGGGAUGGCAUCCAGCUGUAGAAACCAUGCUAAAACAGACAGUUGGAGCCUGGUAUAGGUCUCUGGCUUGACAGCUCCUGUCAAACUGUCCAACCCAUGCCAGCAUGAAAAACAGACAUCAAAUGAUUGUGAUGAUUUCCAGAUUCACCCCACCAUCCUCCCCUCUAAAAUGUGAGUAGUCAUGUUGCUUCUCUGCUUCAAGAAACCUGUUAUGCUCUGGCCCUUUCACUCUUGCUCUUUUACCCCAUACUUUCGCAGCACAAUGUUGCCUUUCCCUAUUUGGGUUCAUAUUCUUGUAAGUUGCACAGUGACCUCACUAUUGUUGGUGGUAUAAUAAAAGGCAGCGAGCUGGCAGAAACGUUAGCGUGCUGGGUGAAAUGCUUAGCGGUAUUUCGUCUGCUGCUACGUUCUGAGUUCAAAUUCCGCCAAGGUUGACCUCGUCUUUCAUCUUUUUGGAGUCGAUUAAAUAAGUACCAGUUACACACUGGGGUCAAUAUAAUCGACUUAAUCCGUUUGUCUGUCCUUGUUUGUCCUCUCUGUAUUUAGCCCCUUGAGGGUAGUAAAGAAAUAAGUAUAAUAAAAGCACUCUGUAAAAUAGUUGGCAUUAGCAAGGACAUCCAGUCAUGGAGACCAUGCUAAAGCACAUACUGGAGCAUAAUACAGUCCUUGAAUCCUUCAGAUUUUGUCAAGCUGUCCAAUCCAUGAUAGCAUAGAAUUUGGAUGUUCAAUGAUGAUGUCUGUUAAGAUAUUUGAUUUCUAGCAUUAGUACAAGAGUGUAAAAUCUGGACCCCAGUACUUGAUUGGCAUUUUAUUCUAUUGACCUUUUGAUUGAUUAAAAGCAACAUUGACUUUGUUGAGAUUUGAACCCUGAAUGUUAAGGUCUAACUAAACCUGCAGAAUAUUUUGUCUGUCACUCCACCCUUUCUACUAAUCCACUCCACCCCCUUCACUUCUUGGAUAUUAAAUGUUUAGAUAUUUACAUCAUGUAAUUGACCAGGUUAUUGGAUGUUGUUGCACAUUGCUGGUCACAAUGCUCCUUGCAUCGUUUUAGCUUUUGAAUGAUGCCUCCCCACUGGCUAAGUGAGCAGGCUGACAUUCCCCCCUGAUCAGAAGUCUGGUCUAUUGCAGGGUGACAUGUUUACAGUUGAGUGGACUGGAACAAUGUGAAAUGAAGUGUUUUGCUCAAGAACAGAAUGUAGCACUCAAUCCAAGAAUCAAACACAUGAUCUAGUCAUUAUAAAUGCAAUAUCUGAAUCACCAGGUCACAUGCCUUCAGAUAUUAUUAUCAAAUCUACAUUAUUUACAUUAUUUACAUUUGACGAAUGUUUGUCCUCAUCUUGUUUGUUGUUAACACAACGUUUUGGCUUUCAUCAGGUGUCUUGAGGAAAUUUUGAGCCUGGGUUCUCAUUCCUAAGGUAUUUUCGAUGUUAUUAUUGCUAUCAUUGUCUUUGCACAGCUUCUAACGCUGGAGAUGCCAGCUGUUCACUACUAGUGAACUAAGGUAAUACCUCUUAUUUUUCGAGCACCAUCCAGAGUAUUUGAGCAGUUUCAAACAGUGCUGUUUUCUGCAAGUGCUCCGCCCUUAUUGCAGCCCCUAUUUGUUCCAUGUACUUCUCAAGAAGUACAUGGCUCCGACAAUUAUUGGUACCACUACCACCUUUUCCAUCGACCACAACUGCUUAACCUCCCAAGCUAACCUGUCAUAUCUAUUGACAUUUUUUAAAAACUAUUUUAUUAUUAUUAUUAUUUAGGUCACUGCCAGAAAUCAAACUCAGAAUCUUGGGGUUAGUAGCCCGCACUCUUAACCACUAUGCCAUAUGCCUGUUAACAACAAACAAGAUGACAAAUAUCCGUCAAGUGUAAAUAAUGUACAUAAUUCCUCAUUUCUUAAAUAUAGAACUGUAUUAUCAAAUCUGUUUAAUAGGCACAGGAGUGACUGUGUGGUAAGUAGUUUGCUUAUCAGCCACAUGGUUCUGGGUUCAGUCCCAUUGCGUGGCACCUUGGGCAAGUGUCUUCUGCUAUAGCUUCGGGCUGGCCAAAGCCUUGUGAGUGGAUUUAGUAGACAGAAACUUAAAGAAGCCCAUUGUGUAUAUAUAUAUAUACACACACACACAUCAUCAUCAUCAUCAUCGUUUAACAUCCGUUUUCCAUGCUAGCAUGGGUUGGAUGGUAUAUACACAUAUAUGGAAAAAAACGUCAAGGUAGAAAAUGCUAAAAUAAUUUUAUAAAAAACAUUUCAGUACUGGUUUCAGUCAUUGAGACUUUUUCAACUGUAAGUAUGGAAAACAAUUAGAUUUUGGAAAAAUUAAAUGAAAAGUUUUUUAAAAGAAUAUUUGCAUAGUAUUCAAAUACAAGGGGUAUUUUCCUUCCGUUUUCCAUACUGGCAUGGAUUGGACAGUUUGAUUGGGGACUGGCAAGCCAGAAGGCCACACCAGGCUCCAAUCUGAUCUAGCUGUGUUUCUACAGCUCGAUGCCCUUCCUAAUGCCAACCACUCCAAGAGUGUAGUGGCUGCUUUUUAUGUGCUACUGGCACAGGAGCCAGUCAGGCGGCACUGGCAUUGGCCAUGUUCAGAUGGUGCUUUUUACAUGCUACUGGCACAGGAGCCAGUCGAGGCAGGGAGACUGGCAUCAACCAUGUUUGGAUGGUGCGUUUUAUGUGCCACCGGUAUGGGGAGUCAUAUGUGUGUGUGUAUUUGUGUGUCUGUUUGUCCCACCACCAUCACUUGACAACUGAUGUUGGUGUGUUUAUGUCCCCGUAACUUAGUGGUUUGGCAAAAGAUACAGAUAGAAUAAGUACUAGGCUUACAAAUAAUAAGUCCUGGGGUCGAUUUGUUCGAUUAAAGGUGGUGCUCUAGAAUGGCCGCAGUGAAAAUGACUGAAGCACAGAAAGAAAAAAGAAUGAAAGAAAAAUUCAGAUAUUGUGAAAUGCUUUGUCCUAUUUUGUUAUCAAACUAAUUUAUAUUUCAUUUGAGGACCAACUUGUCCUAUUUAUCAUUAUUAUUCUUAUUUGGCUUGUCUCUUGCUGCUUUCUUGUACUAUUGUUGUUUAGAGGAACUGAUUUCUAGAAAUGUCACCAAAAUUGUCUCUUGGAAAAAAACAACAAAACAAAACAAAACAAAAAGGCACGCACACACACAAAAAUAAAGGCAAAAAUUUGUAAAAUUGUUAUAUGAGGGAAUAUUUCAGAUAGUAUUUGGGUUUAUUUUUCAUUCUCUCUGCUGGGAAAGGUCAUCUGCUGUGCUAGCUCUUCCAGCUCCUCCUUGCAACAUCAACUCAGCUACUAUUGCUAACAGUUUAAUGGAGCAGGAAGUCAUUAAUACAGCAAAUGGUUAGCUUUUUUUGUUGUUUUGUUUUAGUUUUGUUUGUUUCUUUUUGUUACUAUUUUUUUCUUUUUUUGGUGUCAUUUCUCAAACUGUUGUUGUAAUUAUGUUUGCCAGAUAGACAGCAACAGAGGCCUUGCUUUUUAAGCGAUGAGUCUUAGUGACCUUCAGCUAGUUAUUUGGCAGUGUUGUUGUUGAACGGCGACGAACUUUCUCCACGAUAUUGCUGCUGUCGCUGCUGCUUCUGAAGUGAUGUCGCUGCUACGUAUGAACUCUGCG